This 351-nucleotide unclassified non-coding RNA is filed under the name soil metagenome. RNAcentral's name for it is "partial contains 5.8S ribosomal RNA, internal transcribed spacer 2, and large subunit ribosomal RNA". The stretch from base 1 to 120 matches the Rfam family "5.8S ribosomal RNA", at positions 35 to 154 of the family's 154-position model. The record is from RNAcentral.
GAUGAAGAACGCAGCGAAAUGCGAAAAGUAAUGUGAAUUGCAGAAUUCAGUGAAUCAUCGAAUCUUUGAACGCACAUUGCGCCCGCCAGUAUUCUGGCGGGCAUGCCUGUCUGAGCGUCAUUUCAACCCUCACGCCCCUAGGGCGUGGUGUUGGGGAUCGGCCAAGGCCCGCAAGGGACGGCCGGCCCCUAAAUCUAGUGGCGGACCCAUCGCGGCCUCCCCUGCGAAGUAGUAAUAUAUUCCGCAUCGGAUAGCGAUGAGCCCCUGCCGUUAAACCCCCAACUCUUUCAAGGUUGACCUCAGAUCAGGUAGGAAUACCCGCUGAACUUAAGCAUAUCAAUAAGCGGAGGA